GACGUAGGGGGCCAGCGUUGUUCGGAAUUACUGGGUGUAAAGGGUUCGUGGGCGGUGCGGCAAGUUGGGAGUGAAAUCUCUGGGCUUAACCCAGAGGCUGCUUCCAAAACUGCUGUGCUUGAGUGUGGGAGAGGCGCGUGGAAUUGCAGGUGUAGCGGUGAAAUGCGUAGAUAUCUGCAGGAACACCCGUGGCGAAAGCGGCGCGCUGGACCACUACUGACGCUGAGGAACGAAAGCUAGGGGAGCAAACAGG
Molecule: ribosomal RNA, 253 nt
Filed under: uncultured bacterium
Lineage: Bacteria
Description: partial 16S ribosomal RNA
Rfam family: Bacterial small subunit ribosomal RNA
Source: RNAcentral